Molecule: non-coding RNA, 75 nt
Organism: Podarcis lilfordi (Lilford's wall lizard)
Lineage: Eukaryota; Metazoa; Chordata; Lepidosauria; Squamata; Lacertidae
Source: the annotation of a GenBank genome assembly
GGAAAGACAGUAGCUCAGUGGUAGGAAAUCUGCCUUGCAUGCAGAAGGUUCCAAGUUCAAUCCCCAGCAUCUCCA